RNAcentral lists this ribosomal RNA (500 nucleotides) under uncultured bacterium. RNAcentral describes it as "partial 16S ribosomal RNA". It matches the Rfam family "Bacterial small subunit ribosomal RNA", at positions 28 to 507 of the family's 1533-position model. The record is from RNAcentral.
GACGAACGCUGGCGGCGUGCUUAACACAUGCAAGUCGAACGGGCCUGUCUUCUUUUUUGGGGGGUGGGUUGAGUGGCGAACGGGUGAGUAUCACGUGAGUAACCUGCCCUUCGGUCCUGGAUAACCGCUUGAAAGGGCGGCUAAUACGGGGUGGUCCGGUUGGUCCGCAUGGGCUGGUCGGGAUAGAUUCACUGUUUUUGGUGUUUCGGCGGGGGAUGGGCUCGCGGCCUAUCAGCUUGUUGGUGGGGUGAUGGCCUACCAAGGCGGUGACGGGUAGCCGGCCUGAGCGGGUGGGCGGCCACACUGGGACUGAGAUACGGCCCAGACUCCUGCGGGAGGCAGCAGUGGGGGGUAUUGCACAAUGGGCGGAAGCCUGAUGCAGCGACGUCGCGUGAGGGAUGGAGGCCUUCGGGUUGUGAACCUCUGUUUCCGGUGGUGAAGGCCCUGUCCGUGUGGUGGGGUUGACGGUAGCCGGGGAUGAAGCGCCGGCUAACUACGUG